This 254-nucleotide ribosomal RNA is filed under the name uncultured bacterium. RNAcentral describes it as "partial 16S ribosomal RNA". It matches the Rfam family "Bacterial small subunit ribosomal RNA", at positions 524 to 776 of the family's 1533-position model. The record is from RNAcentral.
UACGUAGGGAGCGAGCGUUGUUCGGAUUUACUGGGCGUAAAGGGCGCGUAGGCGGCCACCGCAAGUCGGUUGUGAAAUCUCCGGGCUUAACCCGGAAAGGUCAAUCGAUACUGCGGGGCUAGAGUGCAGAAGGGGCAACUGGAAUUCUCGGUGUAGCGGUGAAAUGCGUAGAUAUCGAGAGGAACACCUGCGGCGAAGGCGGGUUGCUGGGCUGACACUGACGCUGAAGCGCGAAAGCUAGGGGAGCGAACGGG